Molecule: ribosomal RNA, 484 nt
Filed under: uncultured bacterium
Lineage: Bacteria
Description: partial 16S ribosomal RNA
Rfam family: Bacterial small subunit ribosomal RNA
Source: RNAcentral
AUUGAACGCUGGCGGCAGGCCUAACACAUGCAAGUCGAGCGGAUGAAGGGAGCUUGCUCCUGGAUUCAGCGGCGGACGGGUGAGUAAUGCCUAGGAAUCUGCCUGGUAGUGGGGGAUAACGUCCGGAAACGGGCGCUAAUACCGCAUACGUCCUGAGGGAGAAAGAGGGGGAUCUUCGGACCUCACGCUAUCAGAUGAGCCUAGGUCGGAUUAGCUAGUUGGUGGGGUAAAGGCCUACCAAGGCAACGAUCCGUAACUGGUCUGAGAGGAUGAUCAGUCACCAUGGAACUGGGACACGUUCCAGACUCCUACGGGAGGCAGCAGUGGGGAAUAUUGGACAAUGGGCGAAAGCCUGGUCCAGCCAUGCCGCGUGUGUGAAGAAGGUCUUCGGAUUGUAAAGCACUUUAAGUUGGGAGGAAGGGCAGUAAGUUAAUACCUUGCUGUUUUGACGUUACCAACAGAAUAAGCACCGGCUAACUUCGUG